RNAcentral lists this long non-coding RNA (6579 nucleotides) under Arachis ipaensis. RNAcentral's name for it is "long non-coding RNA (AIPA_LNC000312)". The record is from RNAcentral. Lineage: Eukaryota; Viridiplantae; Streptophyta; Magnoliopsida; Fabales; Fabaceae.
GACAGAUGAGCCUCAUUAGCCAUAGGACAGGCAUGCAUCAUAUGCAUUUAUAUGCUUUGCUUGGGUUUGAACUUGUUUUGGUUUGCCUAAUUGCUAAACUGUUCUUAACUGCUACUUGAACUAUUUGCUGUAACUGCUACCUGCUUGUGUUUUCCUUGUCUGUCUUGCCUGUGUUUGUCCUGGCGUGCUACAUUUGAGAAUGAACUUGGAUGUUGAAUUAAUGAUUAUAUUGUUUAAUUGCGUGGUUGAUUUCUGAUUGAGAUUUUCUUAUAAGAAAGGAAAGAUUUCGGAUUUCUGAAAGAUUAAACAUUGUUUCUUUGAAAAGGGUUUUGAACAAUUUCCUAUUGGUUUUAAAAGAUACAUAAGGCAAUGAUAAUCACUGAGCUUGAAAACAGUUUCUUAUUAAAUAUCUUCUUAUGACAACUUUGAAACUCCGUGGUGAGACCGUGUGGUUAGGUCUCACCCCCCUACAGCUUUACCUUUUCAGGAACCAGAUGAAGAAGCAUUAAGAAGAGUUAUACUACGUUUGGUUUAUAUGUUGUUGUAUUAAUUAGAUUAUUUUUUUCCCCUCGUCUUUGUUAUUACAAGUUUGUAAGAGGGAUAGGAAUUGUAUGUUUUAUACAUAUAUUAUAUUGAAUUAUUAUAUAAGGAGUCUUGUAUAUGAAUCUAUGCCUGUUUGUAAUUUUCUUAAAAUAAAGUAUUUAUUUCCGGUUUUCAAAGAAAUUAGCGAUACAGUAUCAAGUUACAGGCUCCUAUUCUAGUAUUUAGUAUGUAAAGUAGUCGUAAUACUUCUUGCUAUCAGAGUAGCGCAGCCGGAAGCAUGAUUUCUGAUAGUGAGGGUGUUACAUUAUGGUAUCAGAGCCGUCUUUUCUGUAGAGCCUGAGGAAUGGACCGAUUAUGCUUUAAUCGCAUACUCUGAGUGUCUGUCAUGUUAUAGGUCUUGUCCGAAUGACGAGAAUUAGAGCUUUAUGCACAUGACUGUUUUUUUUAUUAACACUGUUAGCUUUCCAUUGCAUAUCUGUUAUUAUUAAGUCUGGCCAGCUUAAUAUUAAUGGUUUACGUAUACGGUAAAGUUAAUGGGUUAUCAUUGACAAAGUUGAAUUAAUAAGCGAUGUGGUUCACGGGUUCUGGGAGCGUUAGAAAUUAAAUUUUGAAGUUAGUUCCGUUUUGAUGUGUAAUCUUGUUCAUGUCGUGUAGCUUAGUACACCGUUCUCUCUCUUAUUGGUUAUGUUGGAAUUCCUUGUUUUAGAUUUUUCCUUUUAAGAUAUGAUUCGACUCUGUUCCUAGCGAUACUUAUUCAUUCCUAUAUAUAUAUUUCUGCUUGAUUAUAAUCCUGAUUAUUCACUUAAAAUCAUUUGGAACUUUUACCUUUGAUGUUGCUCAUAUUUCUCUUCACGAAUCACGAGUUCUUCUUUCGAGUUGGUUUUGAACUUGUUUCACAAGACAAUGGUCCUUAAUUCUUUGAAAAACGUCAGAUGUUAUUCCUUGAUUAGUUUACACCGAAGGUAGGUACUUUAAUCAUGUCACAUGAUGCGUGUGCUGCUUAUCCUUCAAUUUACCAUCUUUUACACUCCUUGUUUCAAUUCUUUUUGGAACCUGAUUUGAUUAUUUAUCAUUAUCAUUAUUUAUGCAUUUCUUCAUAAAUUUUGUAUCCUUUUAUUUGAUCCUAAAUCUGUUCUAGCGUAACACAUAAUUCUUAAUACUUGAGUGAUUUGAAACCGUGAGAGUUACGAUUUGUAGCAAGCUAAUUGUGUGAUUUGGUUCUUCUACUUUGCCUUCUACAACUUAUGCGUAUUUUGCCCAGGUUACAAUUUUUGAUCCUGUUUUUCUCUAAAUGAAUAAAGUACUUCCCUUGGUAAAAAUUUCGAAUUUGUCUUGGUAUGAGAUAACAAUUCUAGUAAUAUUCUUUCAAUGUUUUUGUUUCGGAAUCUUCGUUGAGAAGAGUUUGGAUCUUUUUAUUUUAUCUAUACUCUUAUUAACUAUAUAAGAAAACUUUACAUUAGAUUUCUUUCUUUGAACAUAAUUUGAUUCUCCUCCAAUAUUUACUCAAAUUUUUAUAUAUGUCUUUUUACUUGAUUAUGUACUCUAAGAUUCUUGAUAAGAAAUUUUUGCUUCUAUUCUAGUUAAUCUCUAAUUGACAAACUUCAAUUAAUUUAUUUUAAAUUGGAUUGUUUUCACACAAUACCUUAUUAAAACUUAUAGUAAUUAUUUUGGGAAAGUGGCUUCAUUCCUUCAUAAGGUUACAACUCGAUUUUCCCUUUCGGUACAUCUUCUUGUUUUUGUACAUCCUUGCUUACUUAUAAUUUCAAACGUUUCUCCAAGACCUUGUGAAACACCAUUUUGGUUACUUGUUCUUAUUUAUCAAAAUUUGUAUUCCUUUGAAUAAACUCCAAACUUAUUUUGGUGCACAUACCACUUUUUAUAAUCUCGUUCUAAGGUUUUUGUUUUAGAUUCCAUUGAAGAAAUUUCAAUUCAGUUCUUGUUUUACUGGAUUCUAUCCGUAGCCCUAACUUAAAUUUUAACAAAAUCGUUUUGGAACUUAGCAUAUAUUUACUGAUACGAAGGUUUAAAACUUUCUUAUGCAAUCGAAACCUAUUUGUUUGUAACGUACCAAGUAUUCUUUUAUUGACUAAUUUAUCUCGGACUUUUUCUUCUAAAUAGAAUUUAGUUCUACCUCUAGGUUUGAUAUAAAUUUUUAUGCAUAUUCUUGUUUGAUUAUGAUCUUUUAAGAUUUUUCAACAUUUUUAGCUCAAUUAAUUUUCAUUAUUUCAAGUUUUGCACAAAUUUAAUUUAACUUGAAUUUGUUUUAACAUAAUCCAAUAUUUACGCUUCUGUUACCUCUCUCUUGAAGGAUAUCUAUUUCAUAUCUUUUCUUUUUAGAAUGAGAAAUCAUACUUUCUUAGAUUUUUCCAUGCUUCUGAGUUUUGCAAAUGAUAUCGUUAGUUCAGUUAUUCCUCUCUUGUGAACUUAGUGUUCCUCUGUUCUGGCUUGAACUUAUUUCAAUUUAAAUCAUCACUACUUUUCUUAUCUCUUAAGGAGUUCCUAGAUUCAAAUUUCCUAUUUAGAUGCAAAAUGAUUUUCUUUCUAGAACAUUUUCUCGUGCCUGUAAAUCGUUACUUAGUUGCAAUCUUACGUAUCCUCCUUAAUUUAUACGAAUUUUAUCCUCGUCACUUAUUCAUUUUUUCCUUAGAUUUGUAACUACUUGAAUAUACUGGUGCUUAUCUCAAUGUCACAUGUGGUCCCUAGAAAAUAAAAACCGAAGCGUUAGUUUUUCAGGAAAUGACUAAUAGAUGAGGAGAUGAACUUCGGCAAGUUUGAAAACGCCGUAGGUUAUGACGUUUAAAUUUCGGGAAAGGAGUAUUGUCGGGAAGAUAUUCAAGUUUUCGGUAGCUCAAUUCGUAUAAGAUAACGAUUCGCAACAAGUUAGUUAAGUGACCAGAGCAACGUGAGAUAGAUAAACUUAAGGUGAAACUUGUAACGCGGUAGUUCUUUAGGAUACGGUUCAUGAACGUUGAACGUGAAGCUUGUAAGUAUGUGACAUCAAAGGGAGUUGUGAUAGUGAGCUAUGUUAAAACUCAUAAGGUUGACACCAUGUAACCCAUUUUCUUUUCAGCCUAUUUCGUAACUACUGCUUUACACCAUGCUUUUCCUUUAUUUCUAAGUCUUAUGGUUUAUUUGCUAUUUGAAAAUUUAUAUAUACCACAACUUUUUGUUUUUCUAAAGUAUUCAAAAGAAAAGUAUUGAAACCGUGUAAUAUUUCUUGUAAUAUUCUAAAUUUUCUUAUCUAAAAAGCAUUUGAACAGUAGAGUACUUAUUCUUAGUAUUACCUUGUAUAUUCUUUUAAUUUUCGAGGACGAAAAUUUUUAUAAGGUGGGUAGGAUGUAAGACCCAAAACUUUUGAAAAGCCUUAUUCUAAAUUGAUUUCAAUUUAAUUAUUCAUUAAAGACUUUAAUUUUAGAAAUUAUUUAAUUAAAGCUAAUGAAAUUAAGUUUAGAUAAUUAAAUUAGAAUUCUUCUCUAAUUUUAUAAUUGUUGAAUAAUUUUCUAUAUUUGAACUAUAAAAUUUAGUAAUUGCAAAAUAAUAAGAAUUUUGUAUAAAUUGAUUUAGAGAAUUGAGAUUUUGGAAUUCAAUCUAUUUUAAUUUUUAUGAAUAAAGAAAAUUAAUUAUAUUAUCUCUAAUUAUUGAAUUAAAGUCUUUAUUUAAAAAUAAUUUAUAAAUUGAUAAAUAAUUAAAUAGUAUUUUUACAAAUAUUAUUAAUGGAUUAAAAGUUGAUUUUUGAUUUUCAAUUACUCCUAAUUUUAGUGAAAUGACUGAACCACCCCUAACCCUAAUUCCCAAAUUGGGAACCCUAACUCUAGUAAACUUCCAUGGCCGUCGCCGUUGAGCUCGCAAGUGAGAGAAAAAGAGUUCGCAGGUGAGAGAGGAAGGUGUUGCGCCGCCGUUCGUUGCUAUUCAGCCACCGCCACGCCUUGUCGUCGCCGGAGUUACCAUCGCCGCGUGCCACCGCCGCUUCUCACUGCCGAGGGGAAGCCUUGUCUACGUUGCUGCCUUAGUCGCCGGUGAGUUGUGCACCGCCACCAGAGUUGAAGACAGCACCAGCCUUGCUCUGAUUUCAAUUCUCCUAUUCUUGAAACUGUAACGCUUUAAACCUUGCUCUGUUUUAUCUUGUUCCUCUGUUCCUUCCUGGCUUAAUUAUAGGACUAUGGAUUACUGUUUUAGUCGUUGCUGGUUUACCGUUCGAAAAGGCAUAAUUGAUGCUGAGAUCGUUGUUGUUCUUGCUCCGAGAGAACUGAUGUCACUGUCGCUGCUGUUGGUUCUGAAUCCUAUUACAUUGAUUCUGGUUUGCUCUUCUCCUUGGUUCUGACCUAUUUGGCACAUUCUAUUUUGUUACUUUUAAUUGCCAUGUUCUUGUUUUAAUUCAAUUCUGGUCUUUGAAUUGUUGUGAAUCUUCCAGAGCUAUGUUUGCUUUUGAUUCUUAUCCAAUUCGAAUCCUUGUCUUGCUGCAACCAUCGUCACUGCCAUAAGAGAUUGACAAUGCUGCUGCUUUAGUUACGUGCUUGUUGCUGCCAUAAAAAUUAAAAGAAAAGGGAGUUACCACGUUUAAUCUAUGUGAAUUCAACUAAUCGAGGUAGGGGUUUUUCUUAAAAUCUAAUUUACAUUACAGAGUUGUGAUAAAUAGAUAUUGAUGCAAAAAGAUAUAUUUCUGUGAUUAUAUUUGUCUUGUGGAUGUAAUGGAUUGUUGGACUGGAUUAUUGGGUUCUUGAUUGCUUGAGUGAAGUACGGUUGUUGUUAAGAAAUGGAUUUGGAAAAUUAUUUACUUGAUUAUUAUGAAAAGUGAUUUUUCUUGGUUUGAAGUUAAACUGGUUUGAUUUUGAGUCGGUUUGAUUUUAUAAAUAAUUUAAUACUUGAGCUGGUUUGGCUUUAAAAAGAGUUUUAUUAUUGGAAUUGGUCUGAUUUUGAAAAUACUUUGAUAUUGGAAUUGUUUGAGAUUUGGAAAUGGUUGAGAAAAGGUUUGAGAAAUGUUUGGAUGGGACCCGAAAAGGGUGGCAGUGUCCGAGUUUUAGAGGAGAUGCUGUCGAAAUUUUAUAAAAUUGGAAGUUUUAUUUAAAGUAACUAAUUAAAAAUAUUUGUUUUUAAGCAUUAUACGUUUUAAGAUUGAUUUGCCUAUCAAAGAAAGAAUUUUGUUUUGGAAUUGAGAUUGUUAACGAACAGAAUGAAAAAGAGGAGGAUGAGGAUUUUAUUUGAAAUAUGACUUUGAAAUGAACUUGGAAAUGAGAUUUGGAUUGAUGAAUGAUUAUGAUGUUGAGAUUGUUGAGAUGUGAACUUGGAAUUAUUCAUAUGGCUUAUGAAUUUGAAAUAUCUGAGAUACAAGGUUCCCUGGAUUAAGUGCCGUGGCUUGCCACCACGUGUACCAGGUUGAAAACUCGAUACUCUGUUGACCCUACGAUGUAAGUGGGUGACCGGGCACUAUAUAAAUUCCCGAGAAUGUUACCCCCAUUGAGUAAUAUUGAUUAUUUGAGAAAAAGCUAUGCAUAGACUCUUGGGGAUGCACGUCGGGGGAUAGUCUAAGUACAAUUCAGACUUGUCGGGUUGGCUGGAUAACCGACAGAUGAGCCUCAUCAGCCAUAGGACAGGCAUGCAUCAUAUGCAUUUGUAUGCUUUGCUUGGGUUUGAACUUGUUUUGGUUUGCCUAAUUGCUAAACUGUUCUUAACUGCUACUUGAACUAUUUGCUGUAACUGCUACCUGCUUGUGUUUUCCUUGUCUGUCUUGCCUAUGUUUGUCCUGGCGUGCUACAUUUGAGAAUGAACUUGGAUGUUGAAUUAAUGAUUGUGUUGUUUAAUUGCGUGGUUGAUUUCUGAUUGAGAUUUUCUUAUAAGAAAGGAAAGAUUUCGGAUUUCUGAAAGAUUAAACAUUGUUUCUUUGAAAAGGGUUUUGAACGAUUUCCUAUUGGUUUUAAAAGAUUCAUAAGGCAAUGAUAAUCACUGAGCUUGAAAACAGUUUCUUAUUAAAUAUCUUCUUAUGACAACUUUGAAACUCCGUGGUGAGACCGUGUGGUUAGGUUCUCACCCCCCUACAGC